This 387-nucleotide long non-coding RNA is filed under the name Elaeis guineensis (African oil palm). Its description in RNAcentral is "long non-coding RNA (EGUI_LNC080023)". Lineage: Eukaryota; Viridiplantae; Streptophyta; Magnoliopsida; Arecales; Arecaceae. The record is from RNAcentral.
GCUGGAGCGUAAUCCCAAGCGCCACACCAUAAUGAUCCCGCCAGCAGUAAGCCCUACGCCACGGUGAGUGGGACACAUGGCGGGCAUUGGUUGACCUAGGGAUAUCCGCCACCAUAACUGCACCAGGCCCCGUCGCUUAUUUAAAUCCUCUCCUUCCCUCCAGGGACUUCAUUUCACCUGAGAGUCCAGACGACGCCUUUCUUUUGUCUGAGAGUUUAGCCACCCAUCGGUGCCCUUUUCGACCCCAAACAUUCUUCGUGCCAAUCUUCGCCAUCUCCGCCGGCUCCCCGCCGCCUUCAGUCUUUCGAUCCCUUUCGAGGAGUCCUCCCGUUGGGGCUUCUGUCCUGGAGGUCAAUCUCGAGAGGAUGCUACGGAUCGAGAGGAGUA